Molecule: ribosomal RNA, 474 nt
Filed under: uncultured bacterium
Lineage: Bacteria
Description: bacterial SSU rRNA
Rfam family: Bacterial small subunit ribosomal RNA
Source: RNAcentral
ACUCCUACGGGAGGCAGCAGUGGGGAAUAUUGCACAAUGGGGGAAACCCUGAUGCAGCCAUGCCGCGUGUGUGAAGAAGGCCUUCGGGUUGUAAAGCACUUUCAGCGAGGAGGAAAGGUUAGUAGUUAAUACCUGCUAGCUGUGACGUUACUCGCAGAAGAAGCACCGGCUAACUCCGUGCCAGCAGCCGCGGUAAUACGGAGGGUGCGAGCGUUAAUCGGAAUUACUGGGCGUAAAGCGUGCGCAGGCGGUUUGUUAAGCGAGAUGUGAAAGCCCCGGGCUCAACCUGGGAACCGCAUUUCGAACUGGCAAACUAGAGUCUUGUAGAGGGGGGUAGAAUUCCAGGUGUAGCGGUGAAAUGCGUAGAGAUCUGGAGGAAUACCAGUGGCGAAGGCGGCCCCCUGGACAAAGACUGACGCUCAGAUGCGAAAGCGUGGGGAGCAAACAGGAUUAGAUACCCUGGUAGCGACUGAU